GUGUCAGCAGCCGCGGUAAGACGUAGGUCCCGAGCGUUACCCGGAUUCACUGGGCGUAAAGUGCGCGUAGGCGGUCGGGUGUGUCGUCCGUGAAAGCCCCCGGCUCAACCGGGGAACGGCGGACGAAACUGCCCGACUCGAGGGCGGGAGAGGCCGGUGGAGCUACCGGAGUAGCGGUGAAAUGCGCAGAUACCGGUAGAAACCUCGAUGGCGAAGGCAGCCGGCUGGCCCGUUCCUGACGCUGAGGCGCGAAAGCGUGGGGAGCGAACCGGAUUAGAUACCCGGGUAGUCCACGCCCUAAACGAUGCGGGCUAGGUGUUGGCUCCUUGAACCGUGGGCCAGUGCCGCAGCUAACGCGGUAAGCCCGCCGCCUGGGGAGUACGGUCGCAAGGCUGAAACUCAAAUGAAUUGACGGGG
RNAcentral lists this ribosomal RNA (417 nucleotides) under uncultured prokaryote. RNAcentral's name for it is "bacterial SSU rRNA". It matches the Rfam family "Bacterial small subunit ribosomal RNA", at positions 505 to 918 of the family's 1533-position model. The record is from RNAcentral.